RNAcentral lists this ribosomal RNA (253 nucleotides) under uncultured bacterium. Its description in RNAcentral is "partial 16S ribosomal RNA". It matches the Rfam family "Bacterial small subunit ribosomal RNA", at positions 524 to 776 of the family's 1533-position model. The record is from RNAcentral.
UACGGAGGUGGCAAGCGUUGUUCGGAAUUACUGGGCGUAAAGGGCGCGUCGGCGGCAAGGCAAGUCAGGUGUGAAAGCCCCGAGCUUAACUCGGGAAUUGCAUCUGAAACUGCUGUGCUUGAGUUCUGGAGGGGGUAGUGGAAUUCCCAGUGUAGCGGUGAAAUGCGUAGAUAUUGGGAGGAACACCUGCGGCGAAGGCGGCUACCUGGACAGAAACUGACGCUGAGGCGCGAAAGCUAGGGGAGCGAACGGG